Molecule: non-coding RNA, 26 nt
Filed under: Homo sapiens (human)
Lineage: Eukaryota; Metazoa; Chordata; Mammalia; Primates; Hominidae
Source: RNAcentral
AGAGCUAUGUCACCAUAGACCUGUGU